GGUUUAGUAGUUAAGACACCAGAUUAAAAAUCUGGAGACCAUGGGUUCUAGUCCCUC
RNAcentral lists this transfer RNA (57 nucleotides) under Ophiophagus hannah (king cobra). It matches the Rfam family "tRNA", at positions 9 to 63 of the family's 71-position model. Rfam says of the family: Transfer RNA (tRNA) molecules are approximately 80 nucleotides in length. Their secondary structure includes four short double-helical elements and three loops (D, anti-codon, and T loops). Lineage: Eukaryota; Metazoa; Chordata; Lepidosauria; Squamata; Elapidae. The record is from Rfam by way of RNAcentral.